RNAcentral lists this small nuclear RNA (25 nucleotides) under Arabidopsis thaliana (thale cress). Its description in RNAcentral is "snRNA_10516". Lineage: Eukaryota; Viridiplantae; Streptophyta; Magnoliopsida; Brassicales; Brassicaceae. The record is from RNAcentral.
AAUUGGUCAACUUUCAUAUAUAUGA